RNAcentral lists this long non-coding RNA (287 nucleotides) under Homo sapiens (human). Its description in RNAcentral is "non-protein coding lnc-EDEM2-3:1". The record is from RNAcentral. Lineage: Eukaryota; Metazoa; Chordata; Mammalia; Primates; Hominidae.
GGCCGCUUGCUUCCUGUUUGUCCGACGAGGAGACAUGGCGGCGGCGCCGGUAGCGGCUGGGUCUGGAGCCGGCCGAGGGAGACGGUCGGCAGCCACAGUGGCGGCUUGGGGCGGAUGGGGCGGCCGGCCGCGGCCUGGUAACAUUCUGCUGCAGCUGCGGCAGGGCCAGCUGACCGGCCGGGGCCUGGUCCGGGCGGUGCAGGUUUUGGCAAGCUCGGGCUGUGGAGAGUUUCCUCCGAGGGACCACCUCCUAUGCAGACCAGAUGACUAUUAAAUAACUUUAUUUU